RNAcentral lists this ribosomal RNA (390 nucleotides) under Filifactor alocis. RNAcentral's name for it is "bacterial SSU rRNA". It matches the Rfam family "Bacterial small subunit ribosomal RNA", at positions 39 to 400 of the family's 1533-position model. Lineage: Bacteria; Bacillati; Bacillota; Clostridia; Peptostreptococcales; Filifactoraceae. The record is from RNAcentral.
GCGGCGUGCUUAACACAUGCAAGUCGAACGAACGACUAUUAACAGAACCUUUCGGGGCGAAGAAUAUAGAAGUUAGUGGCGGACGGGUGCGUAACGCGUGGGUAAUCUGCCUUUGUCAAAGGAAUAACUAUUCGAAAGAAUAGCUAAAACCGUAUAACAUAUUAAUAGGGCAUCCUAAUAAUAUCAAAACGGUGGUGGACAAAGAUGAGCCCGCGUCUGAUUAGCUAGUUGGUGAGAUAAAAGCCCACCAAGGCAACGAUCAGUAGCCGACCUGAGAGGGUGAACGGCCACAUUGGAACUGAGACACGGUCCAAACUCCUACGGGAGGCAGCAGUGGGGAAUAUUGCACAAAUGGGGGGAAACCCCUGAUGCAGCAAACGCCGCCGUGAA